RNAcentral lists this ribosomal RNA (253 nucleotides) under uncultured bacterium. Its description in RNAcentral is "partial 16S ribosomal RNA". It matches the Rfam family "Bacterial small subunit ribosomal RNA", at positions 524 to 776 of the family's 1533-position model. The record is from RNAcentral.
UACGGAGGGUGCAAGCGUUAUCCGGAUUCACUGGGUUUAAAGGGUGCGUAGGCGGGCAAGUAAGUCAGUGGUGAAAUCUUCGAGCUUAACUCGGAAACUGCCGUUGAUACUAUUUGUCUUGAAUGUUGUGGAGGUGAGCGGAAUAUGUCAUGUAGCGGUGAAAUGCUUAGAUAUGACAUAGAACACCAAUUGCGAAGGCAGCUCGCUACACAAUGAUUGACGCUGAGGCACGAAAGCGUGGGGAUCAAGCAGG